This 1451-nucleotide long non-coding RNA is filed under the name Homo sapiens (human). Its description in RNAcentral is "HSALNT0366918". The record is from RNAcentral. Lineage: Eukaryota; Metazoa; Chordata; Mammalia; Primates; Hominidae.
CGUCAGCCACCGCGCCCGGCCUAUAAUUUUUUUUUUUAACUCCUUCACUGUUGUUGGCAGAAUUUAGUUUCUUCCUGUUACAAGGAUUGAGGUCGCCAUUUCCUUGCUGGUAGUCACCUGAGGACUGUUCCCAGAUUCUAGAGACUGCCUGCAUACCUUGGCUUAUCACCUUCCACUGCCUGCAUACCUUGGCUUAUGCCCUUUCUCCUGCAUCUUCCAAGCCAGCAAUGGUAGGACCAUUCGGUAUUCUUGAGAAACACUGGCUAAUCUUCUAGUCGACAAAGUCACACCCAAGGAAAGCACCAAACUUCUCUGAGGUCAAUAUUAUGUUGGAUUGUGCAGAGCCUGUUCCAUAAAGAUCUUUAUGUGCCCAACAAGCUGCAGACAACUUCUUGCAGCUCUGCAUGUGGGAGAAUAGGAAAUGGAAACUGAUAUCCACAUAUAAAGAUGAUGCAGGAAGAGGUAACCAUCCAUCACGGUUUUCCCAGAACAGGCUGAUUUGCGUCUUCUGUCCUGGCAUAAGGAUCCCUUCACUCUCGGAAGUGUUCCGGCAUUCAUAAUUAAUGGUGCAUAUAAGCAAGAAGUGACUCUAUAAUAAGAAAACCUUUGGAUCCAUUAACCUGGCAUCCAUUUCUAGGGAAGGUAUCACUGUGGUCCUGAAAGGAUAGCUCCAAGUCACCUGUCGACAUUCUUGAGUUUGCUUUGCGGAGAGAGGAAAAGACUAACAACAGAACUAAAGUAGAUCCACUGAAGACAUGAGUGAUAGACAAUCACUUCAGAACUUCACAUCGCCGUCCAAGAAAACAUCUAGCUGACAUUUCUUCAAAAAAAUUUAUGUACAGUAUAGUUGUCAAACUGAUUUUUCAAAAGCAACUCCUUUGCUUUUCAUUUUUCUCAAAGUAAAACCUCAGGGUAGCACAUUCCAAAGAAGAUACGAAAAAGUUUAUUAUUAUAUAUUUUUCCACCAUUAAAUCUAGGGGUAAUAUCAUCUGUAAAUAUAGUGGAGAAAGUCUGGAGACUUUUUAAAAGGAAUUGUAAAGAUGUUGAUAGGAGUUGGGGAGAGGAAUCCUUACCAAGCUCUCUACCUGACACUCCUUAUUCAAAGAAAAUUCUGCCCUAACGUAGCCCUGGCAGUCCAUUUGUGUCCAGGGAGCUCAGUCCCCCUCCACUCUCCAGUGUAUAAUUCCAGCAGUAAGGAAAAUUAAGACAAAGCAUUCUGUGCGAGGGAGGGCGGAAAGGUUAAGCAGCGUUGGGGUGCAGUGGAAACCAGAAAAGAAAGUGACCUCAUUUUGCCUGAGAAAGCACGAUCCAACAAGCCCACCUUUGAUGUGGAUUUCAGCAGCGAUAAAAGAGCACAAAGGGCGAAAGCCGGAGGGAGCAAACUUCCCUUAUUCUUCCCCCCGCCCCCUACCUCUCAAGACCACCAGGAACACGCACACGCGAGGACAACA